GGGCCCGCACAAGCGGUGGAGCAUGUGGUUUAAUUCGAUGAUACGCGAGGAACCUUACCAGGGCUUAAAUGUAACGGGACAGAUCUAGAGAUAGAUCCUUCUUCGGACUCAUUACAAGGUGCUGCAUGGUUGUCGUCAGCUCGUGCCGUGAGGUGUCAGGUUAAGUCCUAUAACGAGCGCAACCCCCCAUCGUUAGUUGCCAACGAGUAAAUGUCGGGAACUCUAACGAAACUGCCGGUGCAAAACCGUGAGGAAAGGUGGGGAUGAACGUCAAAAUCAUCACGGCCCUUACGUCCUGGGCUACACACGUGCUACAAUGGUCGGUACAGAGAGCAGCCACUACGCGAGUAGGAGCAAAAUCUUCAAAAGCCGAUCUC
RNAcentral lists this ribosomal RNA (377 nucleotides) under uncultured bacterium. RNAcentral's name for it is "bacterial SSU rRNA". It matches the Rfam family "Bacterial small subunit ribosomal RNA", at positions 917 to 1289 of the family's 1533-position model. The record is from RNAcentral.